This 363-nucleotide unclassified non-coding RNA is filed under the name uncultured bacterium. RNAcentral describes it as "contains 16S-23S intergenic spacer region". The record is from RNAcentral.
UCCCUGUUGCCAGGGCAGUCUCGUUAGAAAAAUACAACUAACGAUAAGGGUUGCGCUCGUUGAUGGACUUAACCAAACAUCUCACGACACGAGCUGAAGACGGCCAUGCAUCACCUGUCACCACGUUCCAAAAGGCACACUCUCUUUUCAGAGAAUUUCGCGGGAUGUCAAGCCUUGGUAAGGUUCUUCGUUUACCGUCGGAUUAAACAACACGCUCCACCGCUUGUGCGGCUCCCCGUCAAUUCCUUUGAGUUUUAAUCUUGCGAUCGUACUCCCCAGGCGGGAUGCUUAACGCGUUAGCUUUGCUACUGAACGGGUCGAUACGUCCAACAGCUAGCAUCCAUCGUUUACAGCGUGGACUAC